GUUUCUCCUCAUGGUACGAUGGGCCACAACACGCAACCCAGGACUUGGGAGGAGUGUUGUAUCCAGCGCCUACCACGUGCUGCUGUCAGCCCUCUGGUUAUCAGGGAGGAAUGGGAUCAGGAACCUGCCUUCCAAAUGUUUGAACCCUUGGAGAGAAGAGAAGAUGAGCAAAAAUUACUAAGGCAAUGGAAAACAGUAAGGGCCACAGAAAAGCCACACAAAAGGCUGCUGCGGAACGCUUCUAAUUUUGGCUUCCGGGAUCCUGCUCCACGUUCUUUCUGACUAGCUUGCUAACGUGCUAAAGACAGGGAAGAUCUGUGACGGGGGCGUCACAUGGCCUGUGUUUAUCUGGCUUCGCUGGUAACUGGCCGUGUGACUGGACAAGUCAUUUGCCAAGGAUUAGAGGAGAUGAGCUAAGGGCUCCUUGCCCUGCCACCCUCUAUGAUUCUGAAGGUACAGCAAAGACAGAGGGGGAAGAACAGGGGCCUGGGGCAACAGACAGGCUGUUUGUUUGUUAAUAUACCCUUCCUCCCCUCCCCACCCACCUGUUACCUCGGCUUAUUAGAGGUGGUUGAUGAAAAGACUGGAAUCCAUGCUCCGGGGUCUGCACUGCUCUGGCGGAGAGUUUAGCACCAUAGAGCUCACUUUGUAUAAGUGCACCAGCUGUGAUAAAUAAGCUUAAGCCUCGGUAAUCACUUUUUCACUUUUACCAAUUACGC
RNAcentral lists this long non-coding RNA (719 nucleotides) under Equus caballus (horse). RNAcentral's name for it is "lncRNA (ENSECAG00000054502.1)". The record is from RNAcentral. Lineage: Eukaryota; Metazoa; Chordata; Mammalia; Perissodactyla; Equidae.